Small nucleolar RNA from Cervus hanglu yarkandensis (Yarkand deer), 92 nucleotides. Ensembl annotates it as small nucleolar RNA, C/D box 12. Its record names the gene SNORD12. Lineage: Eukaryota; Metazoa; Chordata; Mammalia; Artiodactyla; Cervidae. The record is from Ensembl.
GCCAUUGCAGCUGAUGACUUAACUUUUUUCCCCAUCAGAUCGACCCUGUUGAUCCAACUGAAUUAUUAGCCAGUUUUGUCUGAUGCGUUGGC